AGAGGCCUGGAAUUGCUACCCUUUAUUUUUCCCUACUGUGUAUCUCAGGACUUUUCAUCAUGAUCUCAUUAAUGCUUACAGUCUCUCACGCAGCUUUAGGUUCGUGGCAAAAUUGGGAGGAAUGAAUUAUAUGCAACCUUUUAAGGAGCUGGGGGUACACGGAUGAACAAAAGACAAAACCUCCUGGAGCUCACCGACUAUUUUGUCUCAUAGCGGGAGGAACAAAAUAGCCCAUAAGCCAUGGUGCCAGCUGACCAGAGUUUUUGUCUCAAUUCUGCUCCUAUUUCACCAAGGGAACAACAGUGUAGCUGUAAAAAUAAAAAGGAAGAAGAAAUGGAGUGGGACAGCACUCAAAAGAGAAAAAAAAAAAGAACUAGAAGAUUCCCCUAGCUUAUUCUAUGACAGCUUAUACAAUCCUGGUUAAAAGAAAUGAUCUCUCUGUUAUGGCACAGCUGAUAUUCAGGGAUAAUUGAUCAAGUCCAUCUUUUCCCCAAAUCGAGUACAAUCCAUUUCAUGCAAAUAGCCACUGGUCUCAGCCCACACAGGCACGGUUUUCAAGCAGCCCAUUGCCCACUUGGGCCUGUAAACUUUAGGAAUUUCUUUUUGAAAGGCAUGGCAUGGACAUUUGAGAAGAGAGCCAAAUGACUGAGAACAAGAUAUAUUCUGUUUGGGGAGAAGACAGAGAAACAAUGCCUGGUGGGAUAGAGGGAGUAUGAAAACAAUA
Molecule: long non-coding RNA, 724 nt
Organism: Suricata suricatta (meerkat)
Lineage: Eukaryota; Metazoa; Chordata; Mammalia; Carnivora; Herpestidae
Exons: 5
Source: RefSeq, a predicted model, not a curated record